UAUACGUCCAUACCUGUGGACGAUCCGUACACUUCGAGAUAUUAUUUUUAAAGCUUCAUUUCACCAACUUAUAUUGUGGUGAAAAAACUGUGCUUACGAGAGAAUAUGGCGCAAUGAUUGUACUUUAUAGUGAUCACUUCAAAUUUAGGUUAAUUCACUAAAAAAAAAUUUUUAUGAAUAAAAAAAAAAAAACUACGGUUCGUCCAGAACCUACCUUACUAAAAUAAACAAUUCCAUCUUAUAGAGAAAAGCCUCCUGAACUCGAUGGUGUAUACAGAUUUUUCAUAAAACGCCAAAUAAGUGAAGCACGGAACUAUUUAUAAAAACAUUUCACCUCAUCCCUCGUUUGCGCCGACGGGAGUGGGUGCAAGGCUAUACUGCUGGUCUGCGGGCCUCGUUGCCAUGACAACCCUCGCCUCGCCUCGCUUUUCGUUUUCUGUGUGGCCGCGGCCUAAUUAACCAGCAUCCUCACUUUUUCAUUCCACACUGUCCAACUUUCUGAUGCAAAUUAACCAGCAUCCUCACUCUUUCAUCCCUGUGCUGUCCAACUUUCUGAGGCAAGAGUUAAUCAGCAUUCUCACUCAUUCACUCCACACUGUCCAACUUUCUGAUGCAACAGUUAACCAGCAUCCUUAUUCUCUCAUUCCUGUGUUGUCAAACUUUAUAAUUCAAGAGCAAACCAGCAUCCUCACUCCUACAUCCCUGUGCUGUCCUAAUGGAAGAGUUUACUAGCAUCCUUACUCUUUCAUCUCUCUGCUGUCCAACUUUCUAAUGUAAGAGCUAACCAACAUCCUCACUCCUUCAUCCUCAUGCUGUCUUUCUGAUGCAACAGUUAACCAGCAUCCUCACUCUCAUCCCUGUGUUGUCCAACCUUAAGCUGUCCAACUUUUUGAUGCAAGAGUUAACCAGCAUCCUCACUUUUUCACCAGUCCCAUAUCUCAGACAGCCCCUCACUGUCCCAUAUCUUACCUAGCCCCUUACAGUCCCUACUACCUUAUUACAUUACUUUCCCAUACCUAUAGUACAACCCACUCACGUACAGUCCCUAACCUUAAGCAGCCCUACAAUCCAACCCAUAUCAUAACCACUCCUACAUAAUUCCUUUCCUUAGCUGUUCCCACACACAGCCCCACUCCUCAACCAUCCAUGCACACAGCCCCAUAUCUUAACCAUCCUCUUACAGCCCCAUACCUCAGACAGCCCCUCAUAGCCCCAUACCAAUAACUAGCCCAACUUUUCAUCGCAUACCUUCAUUAAUCCCUUUCCUUAACCAGUUCUACACACUCCCAUACCCAUACCCCACACAGUCCCCCAUACCUCAAGCAGCCCCUACACAGCCCCAUCACCAGGGUAGAGGAGGAGAACGGGUGUGUAUGUCACUUUAUUUGUACUGUGGACAAUGUUUGCCUUCACACACCACCUCCCUGGGUCCACACGGCUACGUGGGCCACAGCGUUAGUGUUCCCUCGGUGCCGGCUGGACCCUCACAGUGCUAGUAUUAUAAAAGGUAUAAAAAACGCUACUUAGCCACAUCCAUGUAAGGUAUACAGGGAACUAUCAAAAAGAAGGGUAAACUCAUGCACUCCGUUUCGUUACUGACUGCCAUGGAAUCUUGCUAGGCAUUCGUGCUUUUGUAGAGAUGAAAAACAAGAUGCAGAGCUCUGGAAUAGGAGAGAGUGGCCACCUUCAUCUCAGCCACCAUGGCGUUUUGAAAAAAGAGUCUUGGGGAGCUCAAAUUGAUGCUGAUACAAUGUAGGAAACAGAUCAAGGGCAAUAAAAAACAAAAAACAAAGAGGCUGGCUAAUCUCUGCUUGCAAAAACAUACAGCAGUGGCCAGAAGGGAGGUCAAUUUGAGAUGUAGUGUUUUUGUGCUUGAGGUAUGGUCAGAAUCAUGAAGAAGUACCCAGAGCAUAAAAAACACUAUUGUAUCAGCAUCAAUAUGAGUUUCGUGUGGCUCUUUAGGUAACAGAAUGGCGCCCAUGAUGAAGAUUGCCACACUCUCCUAUUCUAUGGCUCUGACGAGACUGCCACGGAGACCAGUGAAAAUGUAUCACAAAAACACACACACACACACACACACACACACACACACACACACACAUGUACACUAAGAUGAGGCUUCAAGCUGGACAAGACAAUAGGCAAAGCAGCUUAGCAAGGUUCACUUAGUACAGAGGACUUGACAUUGGCCGAAGGUACCCAGACUCCAAUCGCACGCAUAAAUAUAAUAAUAACAAUAAUAAUAAUAGUAGAGGACACCAAACUAGAGUAGGUUCAGUGACUUGUUCAAACCUUUCCAAUACACACUCAAGUCAGGCAAAAAGAAAGUAAAGUAGACCUAUUUAUUGCAAGACAGAUACUAAAGAGAUUCAAGUUAAGUGGAGGUGUUAUUUCAGUGGGAUUUAGCGAUUUGGGAUUAGUGGGACUUCAAGAAUGUGAGAAGAUGGAUUAUAAAUGAAGACAAAGAAGUUAUGGAAGAGGGGGCAGGGCUUCAGGAGGGCAGAGGUUAGUUUAGCAUACAAAGACUUUUAUAACUGGUCACCUUUCCCUGACAUGAGAACAAAUCAGUGGAGUGUAUGCAAGUCACUCAGGACUCAGAAUGUUGCAUUUGUUGUGACUUUCAAUGAUUUCAGGUGUUGGGUUUCUUAUAACUGUCUGCCUCUGAGGACUCAUAAAGUUGGGUUUGUCAUAUCUUUCUACUUUUAAUGCCUCAAAGAACCCAAGAAUUUCAACCUCCUUUCAUCUGACCAAUCACCUCCUUUAGCUAUGGAAGAGGGGGUUAGCCUUCAAGAGGGCAAGGGUCAGUUUAGCGUAUAGAAACAUUUUCCCUGACAUGAGUACUAAUUGGUAAGGUGUAAAUAAAUCGCCAAACAUACUCUAAGGUGCCAUGAGACAGAGCAGUGGCAGCAGCCUUCCCUUGCUGCCACUUUGUCCCCCUCAACUCCCUCUAGGCUAGACAACAACACCAACGAUACAAGAGACUGUGUGGGUGGCAGAAGACUAACGCCAGGAUCUUUUAAACGUCGUAAUAGCGUCUCCUAACAGGUACAUGGCUGGCCUGGCUUUUUUGUUCCAUUUUCGCGACGAAGUUAGUAAGAAAUGUUGGGUUUUCACUGUUGUCAACGUAUUACAAACUCAGACGUAAAAAUUUAUAUAAGAAAUCAGCAAAACCAACUAACUAUGCCUUGAAAAACGGGUAAAAAAUACAAACCAGCCACGUUAGUGUUCAUGAAGACUAAUUCGACGUUUGGAAAAAUCAGGCAAAAGGUCCAUAUUCUCUAGCAUUUCAGGGCUCACACAUCUAUUUCAUAAAGCCUUCAUAGAGGUUGUGUUAGUAUGUCCAUGGGUAGUUUUAUGCCUAGUGAUAGUUUGACAAGGCUUGGGUAGAGGUUGUGUUAGUAUGCCCAUGGGUAGUUUUAUGAGCCUAGUGGUAGUUUGACAAGGCUUUGGUAGAGGUUGUUGUGUUAUUAUGUCCAUGAGUAGUUUUAUGAGUCUAGUGAUAGUUUGACAAGGCUUUGGUAGAGGUUGUUGUGUUAAUAUGUCCAUGGGUAGUUUUAUGAGCCUAGUGAUAGUGUGACAGGGCUUUGGUAGAGGCUGUGUUAGUAUAUCCAUGGGUAGUGUUAUGAUAGAUAUAUUGGUAGAGGUUGUGUUAGUAUUGCCAUGGGUGGUUUUAUAAGCCUAGUGGUAAUUUGGCAAGGCUUUGGUAGAGGCUGUGUUAGUAUAUCCAUGGGUAGUGUUAUGAUAGAUAGAUUGGUAGAGGUUGUGUUAGUAUUGCCUUGGGUAGUUUUAUGAGCCUAGUGAUAAUUUGACAAGGCCUCUGCACCAUGAACAUGAAGAAACACUCAUGAGAACCUGACUAACCUCCUUUGUGGUCCUUGAAAAUAGAUGCUGUGAGAGCCAAAGGCAUCUGAGAAUAUGGGCGUGAGUCGUAGGGGAAAAACCAAGGCCAGAUGGAAGCCUUGUGUGUGUGUGUGUGUGUGUGUGUGUGUGUGUGUGUGUGUGUGUGUGUGUGUGUGUGUGUGUGUGUGUG
Molecule: long non-coding RNA, 4030 nt
Organism: Eriocheir sinensis (Chinese mitten crab)
Lineage: Eukaryota; Metazoa; Arthropoda; Malacostraca; Decapoda; Varunidae
Exons: 2
Source: RefSeq, a predicted model, not a curated record